RNAcentral lists this long non-coding RNA (233 nucleotides) under Capsicum annuum. RNAcentral's name for it is "long non-coding RNA (CANN_LNC002734)". The record is from RNAcentral. Lineage: Eukaryota; Viridiplantae; Streptophyta; Magnoliopsida; Solanales; Solanaceae.
CCACUUCCAAGUGGGAAUACUGAACUCCUGCAUAGACCCACUAGGCUUGUGAUGUUCAAUCAUAACCAGUUGACAAGUGGAGCACUUAGCUACAAACUCUGCAAUAUCCCUCUUUAUUCAGUCCACCAAUAGAUUUUCCAUAGAUCGCGAUACAUCUUUAUGGCUCUGAAUAAAUCGAGUAACGCGCAUCAUGCGCUUCUUAAAUAAUUUGCCAUCUUAACUUAUCAACACAC